This 491-nucleotide unclassified non-coding RNA is filed under the name Hevea brasiliensis (rubber tree). The record is from RNAcentral. Lineage: Eukaryota; Viridiplantae; Streptophyta; Magnoliopsida; Malpighiales; Euphorbiaceae.
CGAUUUUAUGAUGAUACCCAUCUUAAUAGCUACAGGGUUUCAAGCCCAUCGGAUGCUCAUCGUCCACAGCAGCAGCAGCACCAGCAAGAACAGGAAGAAGAUGUUGCUACUAAGGAUGUGGCUGUUGAUACUAAUGUAAAGGAAGUUGUGUGCAUACCACCACCACCACCGCCUCCGUUUCCUCCUCCUCAACCUCCUUCACCCCCAGCGCCACCACUUUCUCCUCUACUGCCACCACCUAGGGCUGUGAGAAGGAAGGUGAAGAGAACAUAUCGAGAUCUUCUGCAUGAAAAGAGAAAAGAAGAGAAGGAUUUGGAAGUUGAGAAAUUCUAUGUACUACGAACUUCUUCAGCAACGACUUCGCCUGCACCCUCACCACCACCAGUUUUCAGCGAGAAUGAGAAAAGGAGAGGUAAAGAUUUCUUGACUUCACUGAGAAGAAACAAAAAGAAGCGGGGAGGAAAAAGUGUUGAAAAUCUUGAGAGCUUAGU